This 253-nucleotide ribosomal RNA is filed under the name uncultured bacterium. RNAcentral's name for it is "partial 16S ribosomal RNA". It matches the Rfam family "Bacterial small subunit ribosomal RNA", at positions 524 to 776 of the family's 1533-position model. The record is from RNAcentral.
GACAGAGGUGCCAAGCGUUAGGCGGAAUCACUGGGCUUAAAGCGUGUGUAGGCGGAUCGUUAAGUACCUUGUGAAAUCCCACGGCUCAACCGUGGAACUGCUCGGUAUACUGGCGGUCUUGAGCCAGCUAGGGGCUACCGGAACAAAUGGUGGAGCGGUGAAAUGCGUAGAUAUCAUUUGGAACGCCAAUGGUGAAAACAGGUAGCUGGGGCUGUGCUGACACUGAGACACGAAAGCCAGGGGAGCAAACGGG